RNAcentral lists this transfer RNA (72 nucleotides) under Bos taurus (domestic cattle). It matches the Rfam family "tRNA". Rfam says of the family: Transfer RNA (tRNA) molecules are approximately 80 nucleotides in length. Their secondary structure includes four short double-helical elements and three loops (D, anti-codon, and T loops). Further hydrogen bonds mediate the characteristic L-shaped molecular structure. tRNAs have two regions of fundamental functional importance: the anti-codon, which is responsible for specific mRNA codon recognition, and the 3' end, to which the tRNAs corresponding amino acid is attached (by aminoacyl-tRNA synthetases). tRNAs cope with the degeneracy of the genetic code in two manners: having more than one tRNA (with a specific anti-codon) for a particular amino acid; and 'wobble' base-pairing, i.e. permitting non-standard base-pairing at the 3rd anti-codon position. The record is from Rfam by way of RNAcentral. Lineage: Eukaryota; Metazoa; Chordata; Mammalia; Artiodactyla; Bovidae. RNAcentral also lists the same sequence under 3 other names.
UCCCUGCUUGUCUAGUGGUUAGGACUCGGUACUUUCACUACUGGGGCCUGGGUUCAAUCCCUGGUCGGGGAA